AAGUCGUAACAAGGUAACCGUAGGUGAACCUGCGGUUGGAUCAUUAAUAAAUUGAUCAGGCUAGGACCAAUCUCUGGUUCCCGGCCGGUGUUUUCUGCCUGCCAAAAGCGGGCAGCAAAACUCCAACUCAACUGUGAACUGUUUUAUGUCUCUGGCGGUGGGGUUUUGGGGGGGGAGGUCAGCCUCCGCUACUCAAAGCCUGUCAGCAUUGUGGAGGAAGCUGUCAAAAGGUUUCUGCCGCGAUGCCGUGGACAAGCCGUCAACCAUUUUCUCCAACAAACUCUUGUGUUUAGUUUUGUCUCACCUGUUUGUAUUUUUGUAUAAAUAUACUAAAAACAACUUUUGGCAACGGAUCUCUUGGCUCUC
This 366-nucleotide unclassified non-coding RNA is filed under the name Spizellomyces sp. RNAcentral describes it as "partial internal transcribed spacer region". The stretch from base 1 to 46 matches the Rfam family "Eukaryotic small subunit ribosomal RNA", at positions 1786 to 1831 of the family's 1831-position model. The record is from RNAcentral. Lineage: Eukaryota; Fungi; Chytridiomycota; Chytridiomycetes; Spizellomycetales; Spizellomycetaceae.